GGGGAAAGGAGAGGCAGGAGCGGACCGGACGAGGCCAAGCGAAAGAAGAUGAGGUCAAGUGAGCACACGGAGGUGGUAGCUGCCUGCACAUCAAGAGAGAAGCCUCAGAAUGAAACCCACCUUGUUGGCACUUUGAUCUUGGACUUCCAAGCCUCCAAAACUAGAGAGAGAGAGAGACAGCGAGAGAGAGGGAACACAAGCAGGUGGAGUUGGAGAGGG
Zalophus californianus (California sea lion) is the source of this 219-nucleotide long non-coding RNA. RefSeq lists it as uncharacterized. The transcript is spliced from 3 exons. Lineage: Eukaryota; Metazoa; Chordata; Mammalia; Carnivora; Otariidae. The record is from RefSeq and is a predicted model, not a curated record.